RNAcentral lists this ribosomal RNA (252 nucleotides) under uncultured bacterium. RNAcentral describes it as "partial 16S ribosomal RNA". It matches the Rfam family "Bacterial small subunit ribosomal RNA", at positions 525 to 776 of the family's 1533-position model. The record is from RNAcentral.
ACGGAGGGUGCAAGCGUUGUCCGGAAUCAUUGGGUGUAAAGGGUGCGUAGGCGGGCGUCUAAGUCUGGGGUGAAAUCUUGCCGCUUAACGGUAAAAUGGCCUUGGAUACUGGGCGUCUUGAGUGUAGAAGAGGUAAGUGGAAUUCGUAGUGUAGCGGUGAAAUGCAUAGAUAUUACGAAGAACAUCAGUGGCGAAGGCGGCUUACUGGUCUACAACUGACGCUGAGGCACGAAAGCGUGGGGAGCGAACAGG